CGAAUUCGUUUCUACCGGUGAC
This 22-nucleotide microRNA is filed under the name Saccoglossus kowalevskii. Its description in RNAcentral is "Sko-Mir-10-P1_3p* (star (passenger))". The record is from RNAcentral. Lineage: Eukaryota; Metazoa; Hemichordata; Enteropneusta; Harrimaniidae.